Molecule: long non-coding RNA, 301 nt
Filed under: Setaria viridis
Lineage: Eukaryota; Viridiplantae; Streptophyta; Magnoliopsida; Poales; Poaceae
Description: long non-coding RNA (SVIR_LNC008589)
Source: RNAcentral
UUAGAACCAUAUAUUGGUCUAUAUUUUUAAUUAAGAUGAUUUGGAUUAAAAUUUAGGUUACCUCAUGUUAUUUUUAAUAAUAGAACAUGUGGGUAAUAUAGAUGUACAUUUAUGGGUUACUUUAAGAUAUUUUUAUUUAAGUAUUAGUGGUGGACAAUUUUGUUACAAAUUUAGGAGGUAAUUUUAAAUUAUUUUUAUAAUAACAUAAGUGAGUAAUUUUGAUGACGGACCUUGCUAAAGUACACCAAUUACCUCCUGGGAGGUAAGACAUGAAUUAAAUCUGGACCCUUGAUUAGUAAGA